AUUGAACGCUGGCGGCAUGCUUUACACAUGCAAGUCGAACGGUAACAGGCCAUCGUGUGCUGACGAGUGUCGGACGGGGGAGUAAGGCAUCGGAACGGGCACAGUGGUUGUGGGUAACGCAUCGAAAGCGGUGCUAAUACCUCAUGUGAUCUGAUGUUUUGAACGGGGGAGCUAGCAGCAAUGUUUGGCCUCGCGCCUCUGGAGCAGCCGAUGUCGGAUUAGGUAGUUGGUGGGGUAAGGGCCUACCAAGCCGACGAUCUGUAGCUGGUCUGAGAGGACGACCGGCCACACUGGAACUGAGACACGGCCCAGACUCCUACGGGAGGCAGCAGUGGGGAAUCUUGGACAAUGGGCGAAAGCCUGACGGAGCAACGCCGCGUGAGGGAAGAAGGCCUUCGGGUUGUAAAACGCUUUUGUACGGAACGAACAGGCUCUGGAUAAUCUGUGGGGAUGAUGACGGUACCGUAAGAAUAAGCACCGGCUAACUACGUG
Molecule: ribosomal RNA, 492 nt
Filed under: uncultured bacterium
Lineage: Bacteria
Description: partial 16S ribosomal RNA
Rfam family: Bacterial small subunit ribosomal RNA
Source: RNAcentral